This 716-nucleotide ribosomal RNA is filed under the name uncultured bacterium. RNAcentral's name for it is "bacterial SSU rRNA". It matches the Rfam family "Bacterial small subunit ribosomal RNA", at positions 337 to 1047 of the family's 1533-position model. The record is from RNAcentral.
UCCUACGGGAGGCAGCAGUGGGGAAUAUUGCACAAUGGGGGGAACCCUGAUGCAGCCAUGCCGCGUGUGUGAAGAAGGCCUUCGGGUUGUAAAGCACUUUCAGUUGUGAGGAAAAGUUAGUAGUUAAUACCUGCUAGCCGUGACGUUAACAACAGAAGAAGCACCGGCUAACUCCGUGCCAGCAGCCGCGGUAAUACGGAGGGUGCGAGCGUUAAUCGGAGUUACUGGGCGUAAAGCGCACGCAGGCGGUUUGUUAAGCUAGAUGUGAAAGCCCCGGGCUCAACCUGGGAUGGUCAUUUAGAACUGGCAGACUGGAGUCUUGGAGAGGGGAGUGGAAUUCCAGGUGUAGCGGUGAAAUGCGUAGAUAUCUGGAGGUACAUCAGUGGCGAAGGCGACUCCCUGGCCAAAGACUGACGCUCAUGUGCGAAAGUGUGGGUAGCGAACAGGAUUAGAUACCCUGGUAGUCCACACCGUAAACGCUGUCUACUAGCUGUGUGUGUCUUUAAGACGUGCGUAGCGAAGCUAACGCGCUAAGUAGACCGCCUGGGGAGUACGGCCGCAAGGUUAAAACUCAAAUGAAUUGACGGGGACCCGCACAAGCGGUGGAGCAUGUGGUUUAAUUCGAUGCAACGCGAAGAACCUUACCAGGGUUUGACAUUAUGUAAAUCUACUUGACAGAGAAGAGUGCCUCCAGGAUACAUAAACAGUGGUGCAUG